RNAcentral lists this ribosomal RNA (572 nucleotides) under uncultured Bacteroidota bacterium. Its description in RNAcentral is "bacterial SSU rRNA". It matches the Rfam family "Bacterial small subunit ribosomal RNA", at positions 38 to 599 of the family's 1533-position model. Lineage: Bacteria; Pseudomonadati; Bacteroidota. The record is from RNAcentral.
AGCGGCAGGCCUAACACAUGCAAGUCGAGGGGCAGCACAAAGAUAGUUUACUAUUUUGGUGGCGACCGGCGCACGGGUGAGUAACGCGUAUGCAACCUACCUUAUACAGGAGUAUAGCCCGAAGAAAUUCGGAUUAAUCCUCCAUAGUAUUUUCUAAUGGCAUCAUUUGGAAAAUUAAAGCUUCGGCGGUAUAAGAUGGGCAUGCGUCCUAUUAGCUAGAUGGUAAGGUAACGGCUUACCAUGGCUACGAUAGGUAGGGGGCCUGAGAGGGUGAUCCCCCACACUGGUACUGAGACACGGACCAGACUCCUACGGGAGGCAGCAGUGAGGAAUAUUGGGCAAUGGAGGCAACUCUGACCCAGCCAUGCCGCGUGCAGGAAGAAUGCCCUAUGGGUUGUAAACUGCUUUUAUUUAGGAAUAAACCUCUCUACGUGUAGAGAGCUGAAUGUACCUAACGAAUAAGCACCGGCUAACUCCGUGCCAGCAGCCGCGGUAAUACGGAGGGUGCAAGCGUUAUCCGGAAUCAUUGGGUUUAAAGGGUCCGCAGGCGGACGUAUAAGUCAGUGGUGGAA